GAUGAACGCUGGCGGCGUGCCUAAUACAUGCAAGUCGAGCGAACGGACGAGAAGCUUGCUUCUCUGAUGUUAGCGGCGGACGGGUGAGUAACACGUGGAUAACCUACCUAUAAGACUGGGAUAACUUCGGGAAACCGGAGCUAAUACCGGAUAAUAUUUUGAACCGCAUGGUUCAAAAGUGAAAGACGGUCUUGCUGUCACUUAUAGAUGGAUCCGCGCUGCAUUAGCUAGUUGGUAAGGUAACGGCUUACCAAGGCAACGAUGCAUAGCCGACCUGAGAGGGUGAUCGGCCACACUGGAACUGAGACACGGUCCAGACUCCUACGGGAGGCAGCAGUAGGGAAUCUUCCGCAAUGGGCGAAAGCCUGACGGAGCAACGCCGCGUGAGUGAUGAAGGUCUUCGGAUCGUAAAACUCUGUUAUUAGGGAAGAACAUAUGUGUAAGUAACUGUGCACAUCUUGACGGUACCUAAUCAGAAAGCCACGGCUAACUACGUGCCAGCAGCCGCGGUAAUACGUAGGUGGCAAGCGUUAUCCGGAAUUAUUGGGCGUAAAGCGCGCGUAGGCGGUUUUUUAAGUCUGAUGUGAAAGCCCACGGCUCAACCGUGGAGGGUCAUUGGAAACUGGAAAACUUGAGUGCAGAAGAGGAAAGUGGAAUUCCAUGUGUAGCGGUGAAAUGCGCAGAGAUAUGGAGGAACACCAGUGGCGAAGGCGACUUUCUGGUCUGUAACUGACGCUGAUGUGCGAAAGCGUGGGGAUCAAACAGGAUUAGAUACCCUGGUAGUCCACGCCGUAAACGAUGAGUGCUAAGUGUUAGGGGGUUUCCGCCCCUUAGUGCUGCAGCUAACGCAUUAAGCACUCCGCCUGGGGAGUACGACCGCAAGGUUGAAACUCAAAGGAAUUGACGGGGACCCGCACAAGCGGUGGAGCAUGUGGUUUAACUCGAAGCAACGCGAAGAACCUUACCAAAUCUUGACAUCCUUUGACAACUCUAGAGAUAGAGCCUUCCCCUUCGGGGGACAAAGUGACAGGUGGUGCAUGGUUGCCGUCAGCUCGUGUCGUGAGAUGUUGGGUUAAGUCCCGCAACGAGCGCAACCCUUAAGCUUAGUUGCCAUCAUUAAGUUGGGCACUCUAAGUUGACUGCCGGUGACAAACCGGAGGAAGGUGGGGAUGACGUCAAAUCAUCAUGCCCCUUAUGAUUUGGGCUACACACGUGCUACAAUGGACAAUACAAAGGGCAGCGAAACCGCGAGGUCAAGCAAAUCCCAUAAAGUUGUUCUCAGUUCGGAUUGUAGUCUGCAACUCGACUACAUGAAGCUGGAAUCGCUAGUAAUCGUAGAUCAGCAUGCUACGGUGAAUACGUUCCCGGGUCU
This 1372-nucleotide ribosomal RNA is filed under the name uncultured bacterium. RNAcentral describes it as "bacterial SSU rRNA". It matches the Rfam family "Bacterial small subunit ribosomal RNA", at positions 28 to 1381 of the family's 1533-position model. The record is from RNAcentral.